CCUACGGGUGGCAGCAGUGGGGAAUAUUGCACAAUGGGGGAAACCCUGAUGCAGCGACGCCGCGUGAGUGAAGAAGUAAUUCGUUAUGUCAAGCUCUAUCAGCAGGGAAGAAAAUGACGGUACCUGAGUAAGGAGCCCCGGCUCACUACGUGCCAGCAGCCGAGGUAAUACGUAGGGGGCAAGCGUUAUCAGGAUUUACUGGGUGUAAAGGGAGUGUAGACGGCAGUGCAAGUCUGGAGUGAAAGGCGGGGGCUCAACCCCCGGACUGCUCUGGAAACUGUACGGCUGGAGUGCAGGAGAGGCAAGUGGAAUUCCGAGUGUAGCGGUGAAUGGCGUAGAUAUUAGGAGGAACACCAGUGGCGAAGGCGGCUUACUGGACUGUAACUGACGUUGAGGCGCGAAAGUGUGGGUAUCAAACAGGAGGAGAGACCCGUGUAGUC
RNAcentral lists this ribosomal RNA (440 nucleotides) under uncultured bacterium. Its description in RNAcentral is "partial 16S ribosomal RNA". It matches the Rfam family "Bacterial small subunit ribosomal RNA", at positions 338 to 795 of the family's 1533-position model. The record is from RNAcentral.